CUUAGGUGCUGGCCUGGAAUUUGGGUUUGCAGAGCAGAUGUGGCUGCUUGUGCCUAGGGAGGGGGAGAUGGCUCAGAGGCUCAUCUGCAGGGGAUGCUACACAGAAAGGGGGGCCUGCCAGCAGAGUACAGUCAGAUCGGUGUUUGGUGUGCUGGGGGCACAGCUCUGCACAACUGCUCAGAGGAUCGGGACCCAAGUGAGCAAAAGUUACUUAUGUGGCCUGGUGUUUGCUGGGCUGGGAGCUCGUACAGCUGCAAAUCACCCUGAAGGGAGGAGAUCCUGUCAGCUGGCACCCGGAGCCAGCCAAUGGGGUUGGAUUACGCAAGGUCAUGACUUGUCUGUACAAGUUCCCGGGAAAUACAAGCCUCCAA
Molecule: long non-coding RNA, 371 nt
Organism: Mauremys mutica (yellowpond turtle)
Lineage: Eukaryota; Metazoa; Chordata; Testudines; Geoemydidae
Exons: 3
Source: RefSeq, a predicted model, not a curated record